GAUGAACGCUGGCGGCGUGCCUAAUACAUGCAAGUCGAGCGAACAGAUGAGGAGCUUGCUCCUCUGACGUUAGCGGCGGACGGGUGAGUAACACGUGGAUAACCUACCUAUAAGACUGGGAUAACUUCGGGAAACCGGAGCUAAUACCGGAUAAUAUAUUGAACCGCAUGGUUCAAUAGUGAAAGACGGUGUUGCUGUCACUUAUAGAUGGAUCCGCGCCGCAUUAGCUAGUUGGUAAGGUAACGGCUUACCAAGGCAACGAUGCGUAGCCGACCUGAGAGGGUGAUCGGCCACACUGGAACUUAGACACGGUCCAGACUCCUACGGGAGGCAGCAGUAGGGAAUCUUCCGCAAUGGGCGAAAGCCUGGCGGAGCAACGCCGCGUGAGUGAUGAAGGUCUUCGGAUCGUAAAACUCUGUUAUUAGGGAAGAACAAAUGUGUAAGUAACUGUGCACGUCUUGACGGUACCUAAUCAGAAAGCCACGGCUAACUACGUG
RNAcentral lists this ribosomal RNA (497 nucleotides) under uncultured bacterium. Its description in RNAcentral is "partial 16S ribosomal RNA". It matches the Rfam family "Bacterial small subunit ribosomal RNA", at positions 28 to 507 of the family's 1533-position model. The record is from RNAcentral.